CUCUCUGGUGUCAGUUCUCAUCUCAGGUUUCUCCAGUUUGCACUGAGCUUUCUUUUAUUGAUUCCCUUGACGGCUCUUCCUCUCCCCUAACCACAGGCUGAUGAGUUGCAGGUUACACAAUCCAUUACACUGAUGAAGUUGUUGAAGUGUCUCCCUUCCCAGAAUUCUAUUUAUUGUCCAGAUGCACUAAAGUGGACGAGUAAUUUUUUUUGGAUGUAUUGAUGCAACACACAAGGAGAGCACAAAAUAAAAAAGACAAACAUGA
Molecule: long non-coding RNA, 265 nt
Organism: Erpetoichthys calabaricus (reedfish)
Lineage: Eukaryota; Metazoa; Chordata; Cladistia; Polypteriformes; Polypteridae
Exons: 2
Source: RefSeq, a predicted model, not a curated record